AGAUUGGGCAGCCCAAGAAACAGAUUGUACCCAAAACAUUUUCGGCGGACACAACAUCUUUGUUUGUAUGUGGUGCUGAGGAUCGAACCCGGGCCGCAUGUAUGCCAGGCGAGCACGCUACCGCUUGAGCCACAUCCCCAGCCCCCAGACUUUAUUUUUAGCUAUCUCCUCCACUAAAGACCAGGUGGAGAGAGACUUUGAAAGGGAGUAUGGAAAACUCCAGCAGCUGGAGGAGCAGACCAAGAGACUGCAGAAGGACAUGAAGAAGAGCACCGAUGCUGACCUGGCCAUGUCGAAAUCUGCCGUGAAGAUAUCCCUGGACUUACUUUCCAAUCCCCUCUGUGAGCAAGACCAAGACUUUUUGAACAUGGUCACAGCCUUGGACACAGCCAUGAAGCGGAUGGAUGCCUUCAACCAAGAAAAGGUGAACCAGAUCCAAAAGACUGUGAUUGAACCCUUGAAAAAGUUUGGCAGUGUCUUCCCGAGCCUCAACAUGGCAGUGAAGCGGCGGGAGCAGGCCUUGCAGGACUACAGGAGACUCCAGGCCAAGGUGGAGAAGUACGAGGAGAAGGAGAAGACAGGACCCGUGCUGGCCAAGCUGCACCAGGCCCGAGAAGAGCUGCGGCCUGUGCGGGAUGACUUUGAGGCCAAGAACAAGCAGCUCUUGGAUGAGAUGCCACGGUUCUACGGUAGCCGACUCGACUACUUCCAGCCCAGCUUUGAGUCCCUGAUCCGAGCGCAGGUCGUGUACUACUCAGAAAUGCAUAAGAUCUUUGGUGACCUCACCCAGCAGCUUGACCAGCCGGGCCACUCAGAUGAGCAGCGGGAGCGAGAGAACGAUGCCAAACUGAGCGAGCUCCGAGCCCUCUCUAUCGUGGCUGAUGACUGAGCUUCCAUCCUUCAAAGACUUCUGGGACACAGGCAACCUCUCUAGUCUUUGCCCUUAGCAGGCACAGGCUCAUGCUUCUCCCACUGGCUGCUGUUUUGGAGACAAGAGGUGGCCCCUGCUCCACCUUAUAAUCCUUUGAACUGAGUGUCUCCAUUCUCUUGAGCCUGUCACCAGGAGCCCCAAACAAACAGGCUGCUCUCCUCAGGCACAGGUGCAUAGCACAGGACAUACCAAAGAGCACCUCCUCAGGAAGCCCACCGUCCACCACCUCUGGGCGGCUGUACUGAAGGCUCCGGUACUGGCAAAUGUUUUGCGUCACCACCCUACUGACCAGCUGCUUGGCCUAUAGAAAACACCAAACACCUGCUGGUCAGACAGUGUGAACCCUGCCCCAAAGAGAGGAACAAGGAACUAGAAGGAGCUCAUUGUAGGCCUGUGCAUAUUAGGAGGCCAUCCAGAAAAGACAGAAAGAUGGGGCAGAAGAGAAGUUACCUGCUCUGCACUGAGCCGAAUCCCCAGGGUAAGAAGGACCCUCUCCAAGUCUCGCCGGUGCAAGUAGCCACACCAGUUGGCAUCAAAGAAUACAAAAGCUAGAAGACAGUCCAAGGGAAGCACAGCAGAUGGGUCCAGCUCCUUGGGCUAUAAAGGAAAACAGAUGGACAGCUUUACUGACAGAUCUCAGUGACUAAAUGGCCCAGGACACAACCUCUUUACAGCAAGCAGCCUGAAUGACAGUACCAAGCAGCCUUACAGCUGAAGGUUCCAGGCCUCUGUGGGGCACUUUCCCAAAAAGAACCUGGUGUGCUCCCAGGUUAGAUCCCUCUCAGCUCCCCCCAACAGGGAGAAUGAAAUGA
Marmota monax (woodchuck) is the source of this 1743-nucleotide RNA transcript. It is a transcript of the gene named bridging integrator 3, with no coding region annotated. The record is from RefSeq and is a predicted model, not a curated record. The transcript is spliced from 10 exons. Lineage: Eukaryota; Metazoa; Chordata; Mammalia; Rodentia; Sciuridae.